UGGGCACAGAGGUUGCCAAAAGGGCCAGUAGGAGGAGAAGGCUUCAUGGAGGACGGGGGCAAGAGCGGGCCGACCAUGCUGGCUUCCUCGCCUUGUGUCUGGCUGACUGCACAGGCCUGAGGAGGCUGUGUGUAAGUUGGCAAAUGACAGGAAGAGCAUGUGCUUCUAAUCACCCACCCAUCUUAAUAACGUCGAACAGAUACAGUGCAGAAACUAUUGCACAACCACCAGCAUUUCAUUACAUCAGAAUCCUUGCCAAUUUGAAAGAGGUCCUUGAAUCCAGGGAGAGUUACAUCUUUACGUUUUUGAUCACGAUCCUCUUGGAAGAUACUUAUUAGGGCCAUUUGUUGAUGACAAUAUUAAGAAUUAGCAAAUAUCUUCUUAAAUAUAACAAAAAUUGAAUUGUUUCAUUA
This is a long non-coding RNA of Homo sapiens (human), 413 nucleotides long. Ensembl annotates it as long intergenic non-protein coding RNA 1394. The record is from Ensembl. NCBI's taxonomy places the organism in Eukaryota, Metazoa, Chordata, Mammalia, Primates, Hominidae.